This 253-nucleotide ribosomal RNA is filed under the name uncultured bacterium. RNAcentral's name for it is "partial 16S ribosomal RNA". It matches the Rfam family "Bacterial small subunit ribosomal RNA", at positions 524 to 776 of the family's 1533-position model. The record is from RNAcentral.
UACGGAGGGUCCAAGCGUUAUCCGGAUUCAUUGGGUUUAAAGGGUCCGUAGGCGGUUUAGUAAGUCAGUGGUGAAAUCUGGUCGCUCAACGAUCAAACGGCCAUUGAUACUGCUAGACUUGAAUUAUUGUGAGGUAACUAGAAUAUGUAGUGUAGCGGUGAAAUGCUUAGAGAUUACAUGGAAUACCAAUUGCGAAGGCAGGUUACUAACAAUGGAUUGACGCUGAUGGACGAAAGCGUGGGGAGCGAACAGG